GAGCGCAACCCCUAUCUUUAAUUGCCAUCAUUCAGUUGGGCACUUUAGAGAGACUGCCGGUGUUAAGCCGGAGGAAGGUGGGGAUGACGUCAAGUCCUCAUGGCCUUUAUGUCUAGGGCUACACACGUGCUACAAUGGGUGGUACAAAGAGCAGCUAACUCGCGAGAGUAUGCAAAUCUCAAAAAGCCAUCCUCAGUUCGGAUUGGAGUCUGCAACUCGACUCCAUGAAGUUGGAAUCGCUAGUAAUCGCGGAUCAGCAUGCCGCGGUGAAUACGUUCCCGGGCCUU
RNAcentral lists this ribosomal RNA (287 nucleotides) under uncultured Smithella sp. Its description in RNAcentral is "partial 16S ribosomal RNA". It matches the Rfam family "Bacterial small subunit ribosomal RNA", at positions 1094 to 1382 of the family's 1533-position model. The record is from RNAcentral. Lineage: Bacteria; Pseudomonadati; Thermodesulfobacteriota; Syntrophia; Syntrophales; Smithellaceae.